RNAcentral lists this long non-coding RNA (3912 nucleotides) under Nicotiana tabacum (common tobacco). RNAcentral's name for it is "long non-coding RNA (NTAB_LNC003039)". The record is from RNAcentral. Lineage: Eukaryota; Viridiplantae; Streptophyta; Magnoliopsida; Solanales; Solanaceae.
AAGAGUUAAAAUUUAUUCCUUUCAAGAAGAUACUGACCCAAGAUUAUUCCCCAACGCCCAAGGUGAGCUUUCAAUACGACUAUAGCUGGAUUAUUAUUCCCAACAUAGAUUCGAAGAAGAAUUCAUCUUGAAACCCUUAGAUCAUCUCUUAGAAUGCAAGAGGUGAAGAACUAGAGUUUCUUCAAGAAGGUAAUCACUGUUGCUUUUACUAUUAAAAUUAGAAUUUUUACAACAUAUUAUGACUAUAGAAUGUACGAUUGAUGCAGUUUAAGGGUAGAAUAACUAUAACAAGCUGGCCUGUCGUUCUGCGUAUUUGAAUCGCGUUUCCUUAUUUGAUGCUUCUUGUAUAUGUGUUUCUUGUUUUAUGACUUGCCGGGAUGAUUGAUUUGGUUACGAGAAGGUUUGAGAAGGAUUUGAAACACUUAGUCUCCUUUUGGAAGCUUAAAUUAUAAGAGCUGAUCAGAGUUUGACUUUUAUGUAAUAGCCUCGGAUUGGUGAUUUGAGUGCCAAUAAGUUCAUAUGGUAAUUUUGGUCUUGGGCGUAGGUUCAAAUUUGGAUUUGGGGAUUCCAAGGUUGAUUUGGCUCUAUUUGGCAGAAGUUAGAAAUUUGAAGGUUUUGAAUGUUCAUAGGUUUGACCGGGAGUUGACUUUGAGGCUAUUGGGUUUGAAUUUUAGUUUCGGAAGUUGAAAUAAGUUGAAUUUGGAUUUGUGUUCAAAUUUGGGUUUAACUCGGAUUCGGCAAAAAUGUUCGGGACUCCCUAAACUUGGCAACUUUUGUUUAGUUCCCGCAUAAACUUCACGUGGCUUUAAUACUCUUGAAAAUUUGAUAGUCUUGACCCUCUCCACCCCCCACCCCACCCCGAUGUUGAUGUGGCAAAGAGUGUGAAUAGCUCUCUUUUAGGCGCGUGGGAGGGAUAAAAAUAAAAAAAUCAGCCUUUCAGGUGGGGUAUUUUUUAAAUAUUAAUUGCUACAUAAUCAAAUAUAAUAAUUUAUUUGUUCAAAUUGUAUUUUCGUUUGUUUCUUUUUAAUAUACAUUACAUAUUUUAUCUCAAUCGUAUUUUUUAGAUACAACGAAUAUAUGUUUUAACUUUAUAUUUCUCAUUUUUUUCGCUUCCAAAUCUACAAAAGUUAGUUAAAACUCCAUUUAUUUUAGCCAAAUAAAAAGAAGAUUUAGCCAAAGUAAUAAAGUUCAAAUGGUGUAUUUUCUACAAAAAGAAAAAAUAUUGUGCAUUUUUAUGUUUAUUUGAUGCAAUGACUAUUUAUUUAAACUAUGCAUUUUUUCUUUUUUGAUUCAAUUAUUCGCAAAUAUUUGGUCGGAAUUUACUAUUUUAGCUAAAAUAUUCAUUUAGCCAAUACAUGAAGUUCCAAGAACGUAUUCUUUUAGAUGCAAUGAUAAUAUAUUAUAACUGUGUAUUUCUUCUUUUCCUGGCCAAAUAUAUAUAUAAGUAACUUGAUUAAAAUGUCAUUAUUUUUAGCCAAAUAAAAAUUAUAAUAAAAAUAACAUUGUUUUAUUUUUAUUUUUUUACAGAUUUUGGCACGAGAAAAUUAUCUAGAUAGUUGAUGGACUUAAAAAUAUAAAAAUAUAGUAUAUUUUAUUGUAAAAACAUUUCACAUAGACAAAAAAAAAUUCAUACGGCAGCACGUGUGUCAUACUUUCAUGGAUUGUCAGCAUAGAGGGGGCUCGAGACUUUGAAAUUGUCAAGUUCAAAGGGGUAUUAAAGACCACGUGAAGUUUAAGGGAGAACUAAACAAACGUUGUCAGGUUCGGGGGGGUGGGUCCCGAACUAUUCUGUCAUCCGGAUUGGUUAGGCUUGAACUGAGCAUUUAGUUUGAAGUUUGGAAUAUGAUUAACUUAAGAGAAGCUUAACAUGUAUUUUGAUCAUCGAUUCUUGGUUUUGAUGUUAGUCGUGGUGUUUUGAACAUUCGGACAAGUUUGGAUAAGGUAUUGGGACUGGUUAGUGUGAUUGGAUGGGAUACCGACUGGGGGGCUCGAGUGUGUUUCCGAGUGGUUUCGGAUCAAUUCUUCUUUGUCUUGGAUUGCUGGUUUUCUGAUGUAUUGAAGUGCUUCGCGAUCACGGAACUAGUCUAGCGAUCGUGGAGAAGAGGGAGCAGAAGGAUUUUCCUCUUUGCAUUCGCGAAGGAGGUAUCACGUCCGCGGAGAGCAGGGAGCAGAAGCAGUGCGAUCGCGUGAGGAGGACACAUUCGCAAAGGAGUGAUGCCAGGGGAAGGAAUGCCUUCACAUUCGUGAAGAUAGGCUCGCGUUCGCGUAGUCUCAGCAGGUGGUCGGACAUCGCGUUCACAAAAGGGUUUCGCGUUCAAGAAGGAGGGGAAGCAAUUGGUCAAGAAUUUGGCCUUCGCGAUCGCGGUGCGAGUCCUGCAAUCGCGAAGUGUAUAAUUGGGCAUAGCAUUUAAAGAUAUAAUUUCAAAAUUUUUCCCAUUCACUCAUAUUUUAAACCCUAGGCUUCGAGAGGUGGAGACUUUGGAGAGCAAGUUCACUAAUACUUGAGGUAAGCAAUUUUCACUUUGAUUUGACUUUAUAUCAUUAUUCUCCAUAAAUUUCUACACCUAAGAGCUUGGAUUUUAAAGUAAUAAUUGGGGGGUUUUGGCAAAACUUUUGGAAAGUGGAUAAUUGAGAUUUGAGCUCCGGGUUAAAGUCGGUUUUGGAUCAAAACUUAUAUAUUUGGACUCGUGUUGGAAUGGGUAUUCGGGAUUUAUGAGUUUUUUCGGGUUUUGGGGGUACGGUCCUGAUUUGACUUUUUUGUUGACUUUGUUUAUUUGUAUAAGAUCGAAACUUUAUUAUUUGAGAUUAUUUUCAAUGUCUUUAUUUGAUAUUAUUGAGUUAUUUUUUUUACUAUAUUUGGGUCAGUUGGAGUUGAAUUUAGAUAGUUAGACAUUUGCUUGAUAUGAGGUUGUUGGCCGGAUGUAAGUCUCUUGUAUAUCCUUGUAAGAGGGAAUUCUCCUCAUAGGUAACUUGAUUGUUGUUUGAUUUAUGAUUUAGGAGCCACAUAUAUGUGAGGUGAUGAGUGUAUAUGCGUAAAAGGUUUUGGACCGUAUCAGGUAUUUGUUGACUUGAAUUGUGCUUUGUCGAAUUAUGUGAAGUUGCUACCCAUGUUCAAAUUAAUUCUACUACUACUCGAUAAUUUAUAUUUAUAAUUUAGGAGCAUGCCUAGGGUUAUAACUUAAUGAUUUGACAUAAGGGUUAUAUUGCCAUACAAAAUUUAUUGUAAAUUUAUAGUCAUAUACUUGCUUUAUUUGCUCCAUGAUUUCUAUGAUUUUGAUGGCCUAAUUAGCUCAUGAUAAUAAUAUAAUUAAGCUUCAAAUAUGCUAAUAGCUUAUUGAGUCAUAGUGAUAAAAUGAGUUAGACGGUUUGCCAUAGCUAUUACUUAGCCAUUUGAGCUUUUAUCUGCAAUUUUAUUGUCAUAUAUUGUGCCCCUUUAUUAUAUCGUUCCUUACACGUAUGCAUGAGUAAAAAGUGGUUAUUGAGAAAAGUUGAGGAUUUUAGCACUAUGGGCAAUCAAGUAGAUAUUGAUACUAAUUAUUGGAUUGAUGAUGUUAUGAUUUAGAUCGGGUUGCGCUCUGCAAAACAUGAUUGGUGAUAUUUAAUUAUAAAAUGACCGAUGCUUGGAUUAUGGAUCCAUCCCUCCACAGUUAGAUGAGUACCCAUGUUACCUUGAGCUCCAUGAGCGUAGGCCCCCGUGAUUCUUUUGGUGUCUGUUGGACACGUGGCCUAUGUUAGGCACAUGAAUUUUGCUGUGAGUUGUUAAGGAAAGGAUCAUGAGCAUGCUUAUUUAUAUUUGUUUAGACUUAUGCUAUGAAUUAAAGUAAUUAUUGUUGACUAGUAUCAGUUUUACUCGAGAGUUGAGGUUACUUAUUAUUUUAUUUGAUUAUGGUUAUUUGAAAAGUAUGCCUAAAU